Molecule: ribosomal RNA, 253 nt
Filed under: uncultured bacterium
Lineage: Bacteria
Description: partial 16S ribosomal RNA
Rfam family: Bacterial small subunit ribosomal RNA
Source: RNAcentral
UACGUAGGGGGCAAGCGUUGUCCGGAAUUAUUGGGCGUAAAGCGUGCGCAGGCGGCGCGUUAAGACAGGUGUGAAAGCCCCGAGCUUAACUUGGGAAUUGCGCUUGUGACUGGCGUGCUGGAGUGUGGCAGAGGGAGGUGGAAUUCCACGUGUAGCAGUGAAAUGCGUAGAGAUGUGGAGGAACACCGAUGGCGAAGGCAGCCUCCUGGGCCAGCACUGACGCUCAUGCACGAAAGCGUGGGGAGCAAACAGG